GCGAAGGAGACACACCUGUUCUCAUCCCGAACACAGAAGUAAAGACCUUCAGCGCAGAAAAUACUACAUGGGAAGCUGUGUGGGAAGAUAUGUCAUUGCCAGUU
RNAcentral lists this ribosomal RNA (104 nucleotides) under Clostridia bacterium. Lineage: Bacteria; Bacillati; Bacillota; Clostridia. The record is from RNAcentral.